GACAGAGGAGCCAAGCGUUGUCCGGAUUGACUGGGCGUAAAGCGCACGCAGGCGGUCGCGCGCGUGGGGUGUGAAAUCUGGCCGCUUAACGGCCAGGCGCCAUCCCAUACGGCGCGACUGGAGUGAUGCAGAGGUCGAUGGAAUUGCCGGUGUAGUGGUGAAAUGUGUAGAGAUCGGCAGGAACACCCAGGGGGAAACCAGUCGACUGGGCAUCUACUGACGCUGAGGUGCGAGAGCGUGGGGAGCGAACCGG
This 253-nucleotide ribosomal RNA is filed under the name uncultured bacterium. Its description in RNAcentral is "partial 16S ribosomal RNA". It matches the Rfam family "Bacterial small subunit ribosomal RNA", at positions 524 to 776 of the family's 1533-position model. The record is from RNAcentral.